Danaus plexippus (monarch butterfly) is the source of this 565-nucleotide long non-coding RNA. RefSeq lists it as uncharacterized. The record is from RefSeq and is a predicted model, not a curated record. The transcript is spliced from 3 exons. Lineage: Eukaryota; Metazoa; Arthropoda; Insecta; Lepidoptera; Nymphalidae.
AACAGUGCGUGAAGGUUGUCAGUUCUUAGAAAUAUGAAAUUGCUGUAACGACCGACACGUGCACCGACCGAGACCGUUUGUUAGGACAUCAGCGUUCCGAGAGAUUGCAAAGUUGCAGUCUCUGCUGGGUUGCCAUACUAAAUAGUGCUUUUUGCGUAAAAGGAGAAACAUGACAAAGAUUGCGCAUCUAGAGGACAUGACUUUAACAUUCCUGGCAACACUCACGGUCAAUCGAUUCGUUAUUGGUAUGCUGGUUGUAUAAAUUUGAGCAACGCCGGGGGCUGGCCUAGUUGCAUCUUGCAAUAACUAAUGAAGGCCGUUCGGUCAUGUAAUGUAUAUGUAGGUUACAUCUUCUACAAGUCGAUCUAACGCGCAAUCAACAAUGAGAUAUGAAAAAAACGUAGACAUUCUACGAGUGAAGGCUGCAUUAGUGAAGAUGAGUCUACACAUCCGUAAGAACCUCGCUACGACGAUCUACGUCCUGUCAUCGUUUGUGUUUUUGCUAUCUUGUCUAGCUGCUCACAGUUAUUUAAUGUUUUAUGCGAAACUAGACGCUAACGCUACC